Long non-coding RNA from Hevea brasiliensis (rubber tree), 705 nucleotides. RefSeq lists it as uncharacterized. The record is from RefSeq and is a predicted model, not a curated record. NCBI's taxonomy places the organism in Eukaryota, Viridiplantae, Streptophyta, Magnoliopsida, Malpighiales, Euphorbiaceae. The transcript has 2 exons.
CAUUUCUAAGCUGGCUUCUCCAGCCCCUCUGGAGACUAAGCUGUGGUGGGGUGUCAACGAGGAGCUUGAGAAACUCAGGAAGACAGUUCCAACCAUCCAAGCUGUGCUUCUUGAUGCAGAGGAGCAGUAUUCGCAGAGUCAUCAAGUCAAAGAUUGGUUGAAUCGCUGAAGGAAUAAUUUUACGAUGCCGAUGACUUUUUAGAUGAGUUCUCCACCGAUGUUUUACUGAAGCAGAUGAUGACCAGCAACAAAAUGGUGAAGGAGAUUAUUUCCAAAAGAUUAUGAAAUUAACAUCCCAUAUUUGGUGAGCCUUUGGAUGGCACAUGGAUUUAUUAAAUCAUCAAAUUGAGAACAAAGUCUUCAAGAUACAGGCCUAAAAUAUUUCAAGGAUCUUUCGUGGAGGACCUUCUUUCAAGAAGUAAAAGAAGACGCGUUGGGCAAUUUAUGGAGAUGUAAAAUGCAUGAUUUGAUGCAUGAUCUUACCGUGCAAGUAGCAGGAGAUGAAAUUAUUUUAUUAAAUUCAAAUGCAAAGCAUGUUUAAGAAAAAACUCGACAUUUACCAAUUGAUUUUGAAGUUGAGUCGUGGCAAAAAGUUACAAGUUGCUUACCUAAUUUGUCAAAGGUGAGAACAUUUGCAUCAUUUAGUUGGUCAAAAAAGCAUGAUAUUAAAGAAAUAGAAUGUGAUGAAAUUUUUUUCAAAUUAAA